RNAcentral lists this ribosomal RNA (460 nucleotides) under uncultured bacterium. Its description in RNAcentral is "partial 16S ribosomal RNA". It matches the Rfam family "Bacterial small subunit ribosomal RNA", at positions 338 to 795 of the family's 1533-position model. The record is from RNAcentral.
CCUACGGUGGGCAGCAGUGAGGAAUAUUGGUCAAUGGGCGUAAGCCUGAACCAGCCAAGUCGCGUGAGGGAUGAAGGUUCUAUGGAUCGUAAACCUCUUUUAUAAGGGAAUAAAGUGUGGGACGUGUCCUAUUUUGUAUGUACCUUAUGAAUAGGGAUCGGCUAACUCAGUGCCAGCAGCGGCGGUAAUACGGGGGCUCCGAGCGUUAUCCGGAUUUAUUGGGUUUAAAGGGUGCGUAGGCGGUCUGUUACGUAAGCGGGUAAAGUCUGGGGCUCAGCCAUAGAAUUGCCGUUGAAACUGGGGGGCUUGAGUAUGUUUGAGGCAGGCGGAAUGCGUGUUGUAGCGGUGAAAUGCUUAGAUAUCACGCAGAACCCCGAUUGCGAAGGCAGCCUGCCAAGCCAUGACUGACGCUGAUGCACGAAAGCGUGGGGAUCAAACAGGAUUAGAUACCCCAGUAGUC